Molecule: ribosomal RNA, 808 nt
Filed under: uncultured bacterium
Lineage: Bacteria
Description: bacterial SSU rRNA
Rfam family: Bacterial small subunit ribosomal RNA
Source: RNAcentral
AGAGUUUGAUCCUGGCUCAGAUUGAACGCUGGCGGCAUGCUUUACACAUGCAAGUCGGACGGCAGCACAGAGAAGCUUGCUUCUUGGGUGGCGAGUGGCGAACGGGUGAGUAAUAUAUCGGAACGUACCGAGUAAUGGGGGAUAACUAAUCGAAAGAUUAGCUAAUACCGCAUAUUCUCUGAGGAGGAAAGCAGGGGACCUUCGGGCCUUGCGUUAUUCGAGCGGCCGAUAUCUGAUUAGCUAGUUGGUGGGGUAAAGGCCUACCAAGGCGACGAUCAGUAGCGGGUCUGAGAGGAUGAUCCGCCACACUGGGACUGAGACACGGCCCAGACUCCUACGGGAGGCAGCAGUGGGGAAUUUUGGACAAUGGGGGCAACCCUGAUCCAGCCAUGCCGCGUGUCUGAAGAAGGCCUUCGGGUUGUAAAGGACUUUUGUUAGGGAAGAAAAGGGAAGUGCUAAUACCACUUUUUGCUGACGGUACCUAAAGAAUAAGCACCGGCUAACUACGUGCCAGCAGCCGCGGUAAUACGUAGGGUGCGAGCGCUAAUCGGAAUUACUGGGCGUAAAGCGAGCGCAGACGGUUACUUAAGCAGGAUGUGAAAUCCCCGGGCUCAACCUGGGAACUGCGUUCUGAACUGGGUAGCUAGAGUAUGUCAGAGGGGGGUAGAAUUCCACGUGUAGCAGUGAAAUGCGUAGAGAUGUGGAGGAAUACCGAUGGCGAAGGCAGCCUCCUGGGAUAACACUGACGUUCAUGCUCGAAAGCGUGGGUAGCAAACAAGAUUAGAUACCCUGGUAGUCCACGCCCUAA